This 817-nucleotide small RNA is filed under the name uncultured Plectosphaerella. RNAcentral's name for it is "eukaryotic LSU rRNA". The stretch from base 537 to 817 matches the Rfam family "Eukaryotic large subunit ribosomal RNA", at positions 1 to 281 of the family's 3401-position model. Lineage: Eukaryota; Fungi; Ascomycota; Sordariomycetes; Glomerellales; Plectosphaerellaceae. The record is from RNAcentral.
CUUGGUCAUUUAGAGGAAGUAAAAGUCGUAACAAGGUCUCCGUUGGUGAACCAGCGGAGGGAUCAUUACUGAGUACUACACUCUCUACCCUUUGUGAACUAUUAUACCUGUUGCUUCGGCGGCGCCCGCAAGGGUGCCCGCCGGUCUCAUCAGAAUCUCUGUUUUCGAACCCGACGAUACUUCUGAGUGUUCUUAGCGAACUGUCAAAACUUUUAACAACGGAUCUCUUGGCUCCAGCAUCGAUGAAGAACGCAGCGAAACGCGAUAUGUAAUGUGAAUUGCAGAAUUCAGUGAAUCAUCGAAUCUUUGAACGCACAUGGCGCCUUCCAGUAUCCUGGGAGGCAUGCCUGUCCGAGCGUCGUUUCAACCCUCGAGCCCCUGUGGCCCGGCGUUGGGGAUCUGCCACGGCAGGCCCCUAAAACCAGUGGCGGACCCGAAGGGCCCUCUCCUUUGCGCAGUAGCAUUCGCCUCGCAUUGGGAGUCCUCGGCGUCCUGCCUCUAAACCCCCCACAAGUCCGCUUCGGCGGCACCAAGGUUGACCUCGGAUCAGGUAGGAAUACCCGCUGAACUUAAGCAUAUCAAUAAGCGGAGGAAAAGAAACCAACAGGGAUUGCCUCAGUAACGGCGAGUGAAGCGGCAACAGCUCAAAUUUGAAAUCUGGCUCCUUCGGGGUCCGAGUUGUAAUUUGCAGAGGAUGCGUCGGGUACGGGUCCCUACCGAGUUCCCUGGAACGGGACGCCAUAGAGGGUGAGAGCCCCGUCUGGUAGGAUACCCAGCCCAUGUGACGCUCCCUCGACGAGUCGAGUUGUUUGGGAAU